Molecule: long non-coding RNA, 2006 nt
Organism: Homo sapiens (human)
Lineage: Eukaryota; Metazoa; Chordata; Mammalia; Primates; Hominidae
Source: Ensembl
GGGCGCCGGGGACUCGGAACGCCGGGUCGGAGCUCGGCAGGCGGAGACUGUGUUAGUCUGUUUUCACAGUGGUAGAAAGAAAUACCCGAGACUGGGUAGUAUAUAAAGAGAAGAGAUUUAAUUGACUCACAGUUUCGAAUGGCUCGGGAGGCCUCAGGAAAUUUAAAAUUAUGGCAGAAGGUGAAGCAGGCAUGCCUUACAUGACAGCAGGCGAGAGGUGAAUUGCGAGUAUAGGAAAAACUGCCACUUUUAAGACCAUCAGAUCUGGUGUGACUCACUCAUUAUCAGGAGAACAGCAUGAGGGAAACCAGCCUCCUAAUCCAAUCACCUCCCACCAACUUCCUCCCUUGACACAUAAGGAUUACAAUUCAAGAUAAGAUUUGGGUGGGGACACAGAGCCCAACCAUAUCAACAGCCAUAUGAGAAGUCUUCAAAAAGUCCAUGGAAAAUGUGUAUUAUCAAGAAACUGUGCAUGGAUUGCAAAAUCUUUUUGAGGGCUGGGCAUGGUGACUCACCCCUGUAAUCCCAGCACUUUGGGAAGCUGAGACUGGUGGAUCACUUGAGGUCAGGAGUUUGAUACCAGCCUGGCCAACAUGGUGAAACCUCGUCUCUACUAAAAAACAGAAAAAUUAGCCAGGUGUGGUGGUUCACACUUGUAUUCUCAGCUACUCAGGAGGCUGAGGGAGGAGAAUAGCUUGAACUGGGGAGGUGAGGUUGCAAUGAGCUGAGAUCGCGCCACAGCACUGCAGCCUGGGCGACAGAGUGAGACUCCAUCUCAAAAACAAAAUCUUUUUGCACCAAAACAAACUGGUACUAACGCAUUAUAAAAUGUCUCAACAGGAUCUAGUUUGAGUCAUUAAAAAGGAGAAGUCAUCAGUUUGAAAAGAGCUACAAUCAGAGCAAAAUGAAUUCUGCUAAAAUUGAAGGAACAACAAACGUCAAAUUUAGGGUGAGGUUAGGGUGGAAGAAUGGUAAAAUCACUGAUGCUUUACCAAAAGUUUAUGGGGACAAUGCACCUAAAUAAAUCAGCAGUUUAUAAAAAUAGUUAAUUUGUAAGAAAGGACAAGACGAUGCUGAAGAUGAAGCCUGCAGCAGCAGGUCAUCCACAUCAAUUUGUGAGAAAAAAAAUUUAUCUUCUUUGUGCCCUAAUUUGGAAGGACCAACGAUUAACAGCAGAAACAACAGUCAACACCAUAGACAUCACAAUUGGUUCAGCUUACAGAAUUCUGACUGAAAAAUCAAAAGUUGAGCAAACUUUCCACUUGAUGGGUGCCAAAACCAGAUCAGCUGCAAAGAACAGAGCUUUCAAUGGAAAUUUUAAACAAGUAGGCUCUAUUGGUUGCUACAAAAUUAAUUGCAGUUUUUGCCAUUGAAAGACAUGUCAAAAACCGCAAUUACUUUUGCCCCAACCAAUAGAUCAUGAAGCAUCUAUUGGGAAAGUGUAACAGGAGGUGAAAUGUGGCUUUCCAACUAUGGAGACAAAGUACAAUCGAAGUAAUGGCUCCGAAGAUGUGGAAGUGGUCCAGUCAAAGCAAAAGUGGUCUGGUCAAGAGCAAAGGUCAUGGAAAUAGUUUUUUGAGCUGCUUGAGAAAUUUUGCUUGUUGACUUUCUGGAGGGCCAAAGAAAAAUAACAUCUGCUUAUUAUGAGAGUGUUUUGAGAAAGCCAAAGCUUUAGCAGAAAAAUGCCCAGGAAAACUUCACCAGAGAGUCCUUUUCUAUCACAGCAAAGGUUCUGCUCACGCCUCUCAUCAAACGGGAAAUUUUGAGAGAGUUUCAAUGGGAAACCAGUAGGCAUUCACCCUACAGUUGGUAUUUAGCUCCUUCCAACUUCUUUUGGUUUCCUAAUGAUAAAAAAUCUGUAAAGGGUACCAUUUUUUUUCCAGUUAAUAAUGUAAAAAAGAUUGCAUUGAUGUAAAUUCCCAGGAACUCCAAUUCUUUGGGGAUGGAUAAAAUGGCUAGUAUCUAAGUGCUGUGAGCAAGAGACAAAAAUAAAUAAAUAAAUGGCU